RNAcentral lists this ribosomal RNA (17 nucleotides) under Dendrobium terminale. Its description in RNAcentral is "partial 18S ribosomal RNA". The record is from RNAcentral. Lineage: Eukaryota; Viridiplantae; Streptophyta; Magnoliopsida; Asparagales; Orchidaceae.
GGCCGGGGGGAGUAUUG